UAGGGAAUUUUGCGCAAUGGGGGAAACCCUGACGCAGCAACGCCGCGUGAACGAUUAAGCCUUUCGGGGUGUAAAGUUCUGUCAGUGGGGACGAAAAAUGACGGUACCCACAGAGGAAGCACCGGCUAACUCCGUGCCAGCAGCCGCGGUAAUACGGAGGGUGCAAGCGUUGUCCGGAAUCAUUGGGCGUAAAGAGUUCGUAGGUGGUAUGUUAAGUCUGGUGUUAAAGCCCGAAGCUCAACUUCGGUUCGGCACUGGAUACUGGCAAACUUGAAUGCGGUAGAGGUAAAGGGAAUUCCUGGUGUAGCGGUGAAAUGCGUAGAUAUCAGGAGGAACAUCGGUGGCGUAAGCGCUUUACUGGGCCGUAAUUGACACUGAGGAACGAAAGCCGGGGUAGCAAAUG
RNAcentral lists this ribosomal RNA (403 nucleotides) under uncultured prokaryote. RNAcentral describes it as "bacterial SSU rRNA". It matches the Rfam family "Bacterial small subunit ribosomal RNA", at positions 355 to 774 of the family's 1533-position model. The record is from RNAcentral.